GAUCCUGGCUCAGGACGAACGCUGGCGGCGUGCCUAACACAUGCAAGUCGAACGAGAAUCGUAUGACGGAGGCUUCGGCCAACUGAGUACGAGGAAAGUGGCGGACGGGUGAGUAACGCGUGAGCAACCUGCCUUGGAGUGGGGAACAACAGGAGGAAACUCCUGCUAAUACCGCAUAAAGUGCCGGGAAGGCAUCUUCCUGGUACCAAAGCUUUAUGUGCUCUGAGAUGGGCUCGCGU
Molecule: ribosomal RNA, 239 nt
Filed under: uncultured bacterium
Lineage: Bacteria
Description: partial 16S ribosomal RNA
Rfam family: Bacterial small subunit ribosomal RNA
Source: RNAcentral